CGGACGGGUGAGUAAUGCUUGGGAAUCUAGCUUAUGGAGGGGGAUAACUACGGGAAACUGUAGCUAAUACCGCGUAAUAUCGAAAGAUUAAAGUGUGGGACUUUCGGGCCACAUGCCAUAGGAUGAGCCCAAGUGGGAUUAGGUAGUUGGUGAGGUAAAGGCUCACCAAGCCGACGAUCUCUAGCUGGUCUGAGAGGAUGACCAGCCACACUGGGACUGAGACACGGCCCAG
RNAcentral lists this ribosomal RNA (232 nucleotides) under uncultured bacterium. RNAcentral's name for it is "partial 16S ribosomal RNA". It matches the Rfam family "Bacterial small subunit ribosomal RNA", at positions 99 to 334 of the family's 1533-position model. The record is from RNAcentral.